This 497-nucleotide ribosomal RNA is filed under the name uncultured bacterium. RNAcentral's name for it is "partial 16S ribosomal RNA". It matches the Rfam family "Bacterial small subunit ribosomal RNA", at positions 28 to 507 of the family's 1533-position model. The record is from RNAcentral.
GACGAACGCUGGCGGCGUGCCUAAUACAUGCAAGUUGAGCGCUGAAGGUUGGUACUUGUACCAACUGGAUGAGCAGCGAACGGGUGAGUAACGCGUGGGGAAUCUGCCUUUGAGCGGGGGACAACAUUUGGAAACGAAUGCUAAUACCGCAUAAAAACUUUAAACACAAGUUUUAAGUUUGAAAGAUGCAAUUGCAUCACUCAAAGAUGAUCCCGCGUUGUAUUAGCUAGUUGGUGAGGCAAAGGCUCACCAAGGCGAUGAUACAUAGCCGACCUGAGAGGGUGGUCGGCCACAUUGGGACUGAGACACGGCCCAAACUCCUACGGGAGGCAGCAGUAGGGAAUCUUCGGCAAUGGACGAAAGUCUGACCGAGCAACGCCGCGGGAGUGAAGAAGGUUUUCGGAUCGUAAAACUCUGUUGGUAGAGAAGAACGUUGGUGAGAGUGGAAAGCUCAUCAAGUGACGGUAACUACCCAGAAAGGGACGGCUAACUACGUG